CCUACGGGAGGCAGCAGUGAGGAAUAUUGGUCAAUGGACGAGAGUCUGAACCAGCCAAGCAGCGUGAAGGAUGACUGCCCUGUGGGUUGUAAACUUCUUUUAUAUGGGAAUAAAAAGUUCGACGUGUGGCCUGGUGUAUGUACCAGAUGAAUAAGGAUCGGCUAACUCCGUGCCAGCAGCCGCGGUAAUACGGAGGAUCCGAGCGUUAUCCGGAUUUAUUGGGUUUAAAGGGUGCGUAGGUGGAUUGUUAAGUCAGUUGUGAAAGUUUGCGGCUCAACCGUAAGAUUGCAGUUGAAACUGGCAGUCUUGAGUACGGUAGAGGUAGGCGGAAUGCGUGGUGUAGCGGUGAAAUGCUUAGAUAUCACGAAGAACUCCGAUUGCGAAGGCAGUUUACUGGCCUGCAACUGACACUGAGGCUCGAAAGUGUGGGUAUCAAACAGGAUUAGAUACCCGGGUAGUC
RNAcentral lists this ribosomal RNA (460 nucleotides) under uncultured bacterium. RNAcentral describes it as "partial 16S ribosomal RNA". It matches the Rfam family "Bacterial small subunit ribosomal RNA", at positions 338 to 795 of the family's 1533-position model. The record is from RNAcentral.